Molecule: ribosomal RNA, 253 nt
Filed under: uncultured bacterium
Lineage: Bacteria
Description: partial 16S ribosomal RNA
Rfam family: Bacterial small subunit ribosomal RNA
Source: RNAcentral
UACAGAGGUCUCGAGCGUUAGGCGGAAUCACUGGGCUUAAAGCGUGUGUAGGCGGAUCGGUAAGUACCUUGUGAAAUCCCACAGCUUAACUGUGGAACUGCUUGGUAUACUGCCAGUCUUGAGCCACUUAGGGGCUACCGGAACAAAUGGUGGAGCGGUGAAAUGCGUAGAUAUCAUGUGGAACGCCAAUGGUGAAAACAGGUUGCUGGGGGUGUGCUGACGCUGAGACACGAAAGCCAGGGGAGCGAACGGG